CCUUUGUACACACCGCCCGUCGCUACUACCGAUUGAAUGGCUAAGUGAGGCUUUCGGACUGGCCCAGGGACGGCGGCAACGCCGACCCAGGGCUGGAAAGUUGUCCAAACUUGGUCAUUUAGAGG
Molecule: ribosomal RNA, 125 nt
Filed under: Tricladium patulum
Lineage: Eukaryota; Fungi; Ascomycota; Leotiomycetes; Helotiales; Tricladiaceae
Description: partial small subunit ribosomal RNA
Rfam family: Eukaryotic small subunit ribosomal RNA
Source: RNAcentral